AAUUUAUAAAGAGAACCUUAGUGCAUUACUUGUCUAACUUUAUCCCUUUCUUUCCUUUUAGCUGUACUCAUUCUCAGUCUAGCACUGGAACUGAUCCUGAUGUUUUUCCUACUAAAACUGAAAGGGAUCUGAUGGUUCGUGGCCCAGUUUGGUUUAAUAUUUUCCUUAUUGGUUUUGGUUUUCUAGAUACCAACAGGAAAAGAAUCUGAGUUGUAGCUAAGUGCUCCUGACAUGGCAGACUGUUGAUGUAACUGGAGACGCUUCUGAUUCUGAUAGAGGUCACAGGGGUAUGCUAGCCAAUGACUGGGUAAAGAGAUAGAGGUUCCUUCUCACAGAGGGAAGGAGCUAUAACGUGAAGACCGUGGUCUUUGCUUUAUUAUCUCUGAACAUGUAAAGGGCACCAAGUUCAUUAGUCUAG
RNAcentral lists this long non-coding RNA (418 nucleotides) under Bos indicus x Bos taurus (hybrid cattle). RNAcentral describes it as "lncRNA (ENSBIXG00005027078.1)". The record is from RNAcentral. Lineage: Eukaryota; Metazoa; Chordata; Mammalia; Artiodactyla; Bovidae.